UGUUUUAUUAUACUUCAUUUAUAUAUAUAUAUAUAUAUAUAUAAUAUAUUUCUUGUUAUAUUUUUUAUAGUUUAAUUAAUGUUAAAAUAACAUUAAGACAUAAUAGUGCGAAGAACGCCAUCUAAGAUGUUGAUCGUAAGACGAAUAUUUUGAUUGGUUGUAAUAUGUAUCACGUGAUAAUCAUGAAGAACUCAUAUCAUGCAUCGAUUGGAUAAAUUCUUUGGUAUGAAAUCUAAUAGAAAUAUAACCUAUUACCAUUUUCGACCAAUCACGAUUAACUCGAUCGACAGUCUGGCCAAUAGUAAAACUUUCAACGGUAUAUCCUUCUUAACUUAUAUUUUUGUGAUAUCAAUAACAUUUUGAAAAGAAUUUUCUACGUAAUAUGAAAAUGUAUAUAUAUAUAUAUCUAUUCUAUUAGUUCAUUUUAAUUAAUUAUUCUAUUUCUUCCGUAAUAUCUAUACGUUUCUUAAUUUAUCGAUAAUAAAAAUUAAUAACGAAAUACUAUGAAAAGUUUGACUUGUUAUAAUGCUGAUCGACGUUUAAUCGUUGAUCAAAAUUUGAUUGGUAAUCCAUGAGAGAUUGAUCGAAGUGUUUGUUAAAUUUAAUUAGAAGAAAAGAAAAAAAGGAGAAACACGCGAAUAUCACAGAAUGAUCAUAAUCGAAGAUUAGUAAUUAUUAAAUAUACACAAUUUUUCGUCUCGCAUGCAUCUUGGGAUGAACGUGCUAAUUGCAAGGCAGAAUGUGCAGUGGUGCUCUAUCAAAUUCAUCGAAACGAAAUCUUUCCCCAUUGGAGAACAUGAAAAUUAGAGCAAAGGGAGGGAAAAGAAAAAAAAAAAAAAAAAAAAAAAAAAAAAAAAAAAAAAAAAAAAAAAAAAAACUUAAAUAACAAUAAUAAUACUUAAUUAUCAUUAUUUAUGAUUUAUCAUUAAAAUUCCAAAUUUUUCUAAUAAUUAUGCUCUUUAUAAAUUCAAUUUAAUGAUAUAAAUACGUAAAUAUCUUGGGACAAAUUUAUAAAGCAUAAUUCUCUUCAAGCUAUAUAAUAGACGAACGAAUAUAUUGAUACAUACACACGCGUCGAUUUUAUUCCCGGAGGAUAUCUUUAAAUAUAAACGUAAAUAUUUCCUUUUCCUAUAACAACUUAAUUAUUUAUUAAAUCAUGCUAUCUCAUAAUAUAUCGGCAAUAAUGCUUUAGUCCAAUAUACACAUACAUACAUAUAUUAAUUUUUGCGGAUGUGAAGAGAAAGAAAUAAUAAUAAUAAUAAUAAUAAUAAUAAUAAUUAAAAAUAAAAAGAAAAUAAAAUAAAAGUAAAAGAAAAAAGAAAAAAAAAAUAUAUAUAUAUAUAUAAAAAGCAUUUACAAUUUCUAAAUCAUGAAUAUACGAAGAGUACACACACAAAGACAGAGAGAAAGAGAGAGAGAGAGAGAGAGAGAGAGAGAAAGAGAAAGACAGAGAGAGAGAGAGGGAGAGAGAGAGAGAGAGGGAGAGA
Long non-coding RNA from Vespa crabro (European hornet), 1487 nucleotides. RefSeq lists it as uncharacterized. The transcript has 2 exons. Lineage: Eukaryota; Metazoa; Arthropoda; Insecta; Hymenoptera; Vespidae. The record is from RefSeq and is a predicted model, not a curated record.